RNAcentral lists this ribosomal RNA (234 nucleotides) under uncultured Candidatus Saccharibacteria bacterium. RNAcentral describes it as "partial 16S ribosomal RNA". It matches the Rfam family "Bacterial small subunit ribosomal RNA", at positions 584 to 818 of the family's 1533-position model. The record is from RNAcentral. Lineage: Bacteria; Candidatus Saccharimonadota.
UAAGCAGGUAGUGAAAGCCUGGGGCUCAACCCCUUACACAUUAUCUGAACUGCAAAGCUAGAGGAUGAGAGAGGUUAUUGGAAUUCCUAGUGUAGGAGUGAAAUCCGUAGAUAUUAGGAGGAACACCGAUGGCGUAGGCAGAUAACUGGCUCAUUCCUGACACUAAGGCACGAAAGCGUGGUAGCAAACGGGAUUAGAUACCCCGGUAGUCCACGCUGUAAACGAUGGAUGCUA